GCAUUCACUCACCUGCAGCCAUUAUUAUCUAUAAUCUAAAGCGCCAUUGGCGCGUUACUGUUCAGCCCGAAGUAAAUGACUCUUUUGCCCUUAAUUUUUUAUUAAAUUACAUCCCUGCCAUUCAGUCUGUUAUAAACACCCGCCGACAGUAGAAUGCUAGAACUCCAGAAGAUUCAGGUUUUUUCGCUCUCUCGCUUCUCCUUAUCAACUUGACGGUGGAGCAGAUAUUUAGCAACUGGAGGGUUUGAUUAGAUACGCGGCAAGGAAUAUUGAUUUCUGUGGCAAAGGGAUUGAUUUCCGUCUCAAAUCAAUAUUCCGUCUCUAACCUGCAUUUGAUCACUCGGCACGAGGUUAUUGAGCUUCCUCGAAGAGAGACAAAGCUCGAGCUUUCUGGAGAUCGGAGGCAAAUCCCUAAAGCAUAGAGUCGUUGCCCAGUCAAUCCAAUUGAAUCCGAUAAUUUCAAGCUUGGAUUCCAAAGUUUGAACCUUUAAUCCGGUAAUUCUCUCACCUAAUUCUCAGGUCUGAUUGCAUCCGACUCUGAAUAUUGUCUCGACUCGAGUUCCUCUGGGCUCGGUUAUUCUGCACCUUUUGGCCCUUCACGCUGUUUGCGCGCCUGCCAUUUGCCUGUAGCCUAACCGGUGCUUCGCUGUUCUAUUACUUGAGUUGGAGCUCAAAAGUUGCAUAUAUUCAAGAAGUCGUGAAGACCAAGUUUUGUAAACUCCUAGAGACAGAGGUAUGGGAGUUCAGGGAUUGUGUUCCAAGAUUGGUAUUCUCGGUUUCUAUAUGUUCUCUGUCAAAAAAGAAGUUCAAAUAUAUUUUCUGCUCAAGAGUUUCAAACUAGGUGUUGCUUAAUUUAUUUGUUUUUCGGGUAUCGUUGGUAGAUCUGGAAUUUUUCUUCGAAAUUGGUGUGGAAAAGUGCUAACUUGAAGAUUAUAGUCUCUGAAAUUUGUUUACUUGGCUCUUGGGGCAGCUGCUACAACAUUUCUAUUCAUUUACUUCAGCAUUCCUUGCUCCCUGCAAUACUUGAUGCUGUGAUAGAAUGCUUUAAUAGAAUGUUAUGGUAAAUUGUAAUAAUUAAACUCAAAACAAUUUUAGAGAGACAAAAUUUUGUCUCUUAUAUUAUCACUUUGAUUAUGAAACAAGUCAUUUUCAUUCA
This is a long non-coding RNA of Rosa rugosa (rugosa rose), 1156 nucleotides long. RefSeq lists it as uncharacterized. NCBI's taxonomy places the organism in Eukaryota, Viridiplantae, Streptophyta, Magnoliopsida, Rosales, Rosaceae. The record is from RefSeq and is a predicted model, not a curated record. The transcript has 2 exons.